RNAcentral lists this ribosomal RNA (594 nucleotides) under uncultured Bacilli bacterium. RNAcentral describes it as "bacterial SSU rRNA". It matches the Rfam family "Bacterial small subunit ribosomal RNA", at positions 171 to 751 of the family's 1533-position model. The record is from RNAcentral. Lineage: Bacteria; Bacillati; Bacillota; Bacilli.
GCAUAAAUCCAAGAACCGCAUGGUUCUUGGCUGAAAGAUGGCGUAAGCUAUCGCUUUUGGAUGGACCCGCGGCGUAUUAGCUAGUUGGUGAGGUAACGGCUCACCAAGGCAAUGAUACGUAGCCGAACUGAGAGGUUGAUCGGCCACAUUGGGACUGAGACACGGCCCAAACUCCUACGGGAGGCAGCAGUAGGGAAUCUUCCACAAUGGACGCAAGUCUGAUGGAGCAACGCCGCGUGAGUGAAGAAGGCUUUCGGGUCGUAAAACUCUGUUGUUGGAGAAGAAUGGUCGGCAGAGUAACUGUUGUCGGCGUGACGGUAUCCAACCAGAAAGCCACGGCUAACUACGUGCCAGCAGCCGCGGUAAUACGUAGGUGGCAAGCGUUAUCCGGAUUUAUUGGGCGUAAAGCGAGCGCAGGCGGUUUUUUAAGUCUGAUGUGAAAGCCCUCGGCUUAACCGAGGAAGUGCAUCGGAAACUGGGAAACUUGAGUGCAGAAGAGGACAGUGGAACUCCAUGUGUAGCGGUGAAAUGCGUAGAUAUAUGGAAGAACACCAGUGGCGAAGGCGGCUGUCUGGUCUGUAACUGACGCUGAGG